RNAcentral lists this ribosomal RNA (506 nucleotides) under uncultured bacterium. RNAcentral's name for it is "partial 16S ribosomal RNA". It matches the Rfam family "Bacterial small subunit ribosomal RNA", at positions 29 to 523 of the family's 1533-position model. The record is from RNAcentral.
AGUGAACGCUGGCGGUAGGCCUAACACAUGCAAGUCGAACGGCAGCACAGGAGAGCUUGCUCUCUGGGUGGCGAGUGGCGGACGGGUGAGGAAUACAUCGGAAUCUACUCUGUCGUGGGGGAUAACGUAGGGAAACUUACGCUAAUACCGCAUACGACCUACGGGUGAAAGCAGGGGACCUUCGGGCCUUGCGCGAUUGAAUGAGCCGAUGUCGGAUUAGCUAGUUGGCGGGGUAAAGGCCCACCAAGGCGACGAACCGUAGCUGGUCUGAGAGGAUGAUCAGCCACACUGGAACUGAGACACGGUCCAGACUCCUACGGGAGGCAGCAGUGGGGAAUAUUGGACAAUGGGCGCAAGCCUGAUCCAGCCAUACCGCGUGGGUGAAGAAGGCCUUCGGGUUGUAAAGCCCUUUUGUUGGGAAAGAAAUCCAGCUGGCUAAUACCCGGUUGGGAUGACGGUACCCAAAGAAUAAGCACCGGCUAACUUAGUGCCAGCCGCCGCAGUAA